AUUGAACGCUGGCGGCAGGCCUAACACAUGCAAGUCGAACGGUAACAGGAAGCAGCUUGCUGCUUUGCUGACGAGUGGCGGACGGGUGAGUAAUGUCUGGGAAACUGCCUGAUGGAGGGGGAUAACUACUGGAAACGGUAGCUAAUACCGCAUAACGUCGCAAGACCAAAGAGGGGGACCUUCGGGCCUCUUGCCAUCGGAUGUGCCCAGAUGGGAUUAGCUAGUAGGUGGGGUAACGGCUCACCUAGGCGACGAUCCCUAGCUGGUCUGAGAGGAUGACCAGCCACACUGGAACUGAGACACGGUCCAGACUCCUACGGGAGGCAGCAGUGGGGAAUAUUGCACGAUGGGCGCAAGCCUGAUGCAGCCAUGACGCGUGUAUGAAGAAGGCCUUCGGGUUGUAAAGUACUUUCAGCGGGGAGGAAGGGAGUAAAGUUAAUACCUUUGCUCAUUGACGUUACCCGCAGAAGAAGCACCGGCUAACUCCGUG
This 490-nucleotide ribosomal RNA is filed under the name uncultured bacterium. RNAcentral's name for it is "partial 16S ribosomal RNA". It matches the Rfam family "Bacterial small subunit ribosomal RNA", at positions 30 to 507 of the family's 1533-position model. The record is from RNAcentral.